UCCGUUAUGGUGUAGUGGCUAACAUUAUCGCCUCUCAUCUCCUACAUUUGCCCAGUUUGAUGCGCGAUAGCCCAGGGUUCGAUUCCCUGUAACGGAA
Moniliophthora roreri MCA 2997 is the source of this 97-nucleotide transfer RNA. It matches the Rfam family "tRNA". Rfam says of the family: Transfer RNA (tRNA) molecules are approximately 80 nucleotides in length. NCBI's taxonomy places the organism in Eukaryota, Fungi, Basidiomycota, Agaricomycetes, Agaricales, Marasmiaceae. The record is from Rfam.